UACGUGGGGUGCAAGCGUUGUCCGGAAUUAUUGGGCGUAAAGAGCUCGUAGGCGGUCUGUCGCGUCGGCUGUGAAAACCCGGAGCUCAACUCCGGGCCUGCAGUCGAUACGGGCAAACUGGAGUGUUGCAGGGGAGACUGGAAUUCCUGGUGUAGCGGUGAAAUGCGCAGAUAUCAGGAGGAACACCGGUGGCGAAGGCGGGUCUCUGGGCAACAACUGACGCUGAGGAGCGAAAGCGUGGGUAGCAAACAGG
RNAcentral lists this ribosomal RNA (253 nucleotides) under uncultured bacterium. RNAcentral's name for it is "partial 16S ribosomal RNA". It matches the Rfam family "Bacterial small subunit ribosomal RNA", at positions 524 to 776 of the family's 1533-position model. The record is from RNAcentral.